GCGACCCCAGGYCAAGYGGGGCUACCCGCUGAGUUUAAGCAUAUCAAUAAGC
RNAcentral lists this ribosomal RNA (52 nucleotides) under Corymbia petalophylla. RNAcentral's name for it is "partial 26S ribosomal RNA". The record is from RNAcentral. Lineage: Eukaryota; Viridiplantae; Streptophyta; Magnoliopsida; Myrtales; Myrtaceae.